Molecule: long non-coding RNA, 2498 nt
Filed under: Sus scrofa (pig)
Lineage: Eukaryota; Metazoa; Chordata; Mammalia; Artiodactyla; Suidae
Description: lncRNA (ENSSSCG00015058567.1)
Source: RNAcentral
AACCCACUGAGGGAGGCUAGGGAUUGAACCUGCAUCCUCAUGGAUGCUAGUCAGAUUCACUUCUGCUGAGCCACGACAGGAACUCCUGGUGGGGGGAAUGUUAACUGGUGCAACCACUACGGAAAACAGUAUGGAGGUACGGCAGGAAACUAAAUAUAGAACGACCAUGUGAUACAGCAAUCCCACUGCUGGGUAUACAUCCAGACAACACUUUCGUUGAAAGAUAUACACAGGCACCCUAUGUUCAUAGCAGCGCUAUUCACAACAGCCAAGACAUGGAAGCAUCCAAGGUGUCCAUCCAGAGACAAAUGGAUUAAGAAGACGUGGUACAUACUUAUACCAUGGAAUAUGACUCAGCCAUAAAAAAAGACAAACUAAUGCCACGGGCAGCAACAUGCAUGGAACUAGAGACUCUCGUCCUAAGUGAAGUAAGCCAGAAAGCAAAAGACGAAUAGCAUAUAUCACUUACUUGUGGAAUCUAAAAUAUGGAACAGCCGAUCCUAUCGAACACAAACAAACGAGAGAGAGAGAGGUCAUGGCCAAGGAGAGCAGACUUGGGGUUCUCAAGGGGGCGAGGGGAGGGAGUGGUGUGGAUGGGCAUUUGGGGGUGUUUUGGCUGCAAACGGUUAUGUCGGGGAUGGAUGGGCAGUGGGACCCUCCUGUACAGCUCAGGGAAAUGUGUGUGAUUGGGUCACUCUGCGAUGCAAAAGAACUUGAGAAAACACUGUAAAUUAAUUUUUAAAAUUCGUGAAAAAAAAGGUACUGGGUGUGUUCGGUGAGUGUGCACCCCAAGGGAAGGACCCAUUGAGUCUGGAAACAAUAAUGGCACAUCGCAGCGCAACUCGGAGGCCAUGCGCGGGUGUCCUGGGGACACUGCGAAGGCCGCAGGCAGACUCCCCUCAACAAGCCUCUGCACACGCGUGCGUUAGACCACGUCCACGACAGAAAAGACGUGUGACCGGGGUGCCCUGGUGGAUCCCUGAGCCACUGCAGGGACAAGGCCAUGUCCUUAACCCGCUUCGCCACAAGAGAACUUCUGCCCACGCCAGCUUUUUGAGCUCAGCUCCUUGUUGCCGACCAACCGUGAGCUCGCAUAUUCAUCAGAGUGACUCCAUGGCGGUAGAGACCGCCGGCAACCGCCUGGUCAAGGAGCAUCCGCGGGCCUGCUGCAUCUGCCCGUCUCCGGCCUUUCAUUUCCACCGCGACCACGCGGCUCUGCGGGGCGAGGGCCACUGGGUCUGCCGCCCACUUGGAGGAAGAGGACCGCAAGGGCGCCCGCCGAGCUCCCUGGCAGAUGCAACACCAGCGCAGCGGCGGCGCGUGUUCGGGGAGGUUCAGGAGCUGCCGCCGAGGGGUUAAAACCCGGGACGACAAGGAAGCCUGUGCAGGCCCUGGGUUCUCCACGCGCAGACGCCCACCUCGCGCACUUGCUGGAGAGCCCGGUCCCGGGUGAGCCGGUGAACCGCCUCGAGAAGAUCGGCGACCGCCUGCCCACCCUCUGCAGGCUGCCCGGCCCCCAGCUGGGCCGGGUGAGUUUCUCCGGGAGGUUUCACCCUCAGGCACCGCGAGGAGCCUCCGGCGCCGGUGCCUCUGAGGAGCCCCUCCCGUGUCGGGGCUUCUGCCUGAUGCCUCUCUCUGCAGCCCCGGGGCAGCCUUUUCACCACCCUAGAGCCCUCUCCCAAGCCGUGAUGCAAAUGGGAACAGCAGAGCUUUUUGCAGGGACAGAAAGUGUCUGCGAAGGGUUGUAAAGUGCCUGGAACUUUCGGAGGCAGACUAGGAUGCCUGCAGGCAGGCGUGAGUGGGUUUCCCCGUUACUCCUCCAGCCUUAUUUCCGGGACGCUCUUACCAAGCAGGGUGUUUUGAAAUUCCUCCCUUGGGAUUGUCUUUGGUGCUAACUUCAAAUAUGCAUGAAAGAAUCAGUGUGACCUUUGGUUUAAUAAAACUAUUGUCCAGGAGUUCCCUAGUGGCUCGGCAGGUUAUGAACCCGCGUUGUCACUGCAGUGGCUCAGGUUUGAUCUCUGGCCUCAGAACCUGCAUGCUGAGGGUGUAGGGAAAAAAAUAUUGUCCAGAAAGACAUAAAAGUAAUCAUGUCCUCACUUUGAACCCUCCUUGGAGCCUUUUAUAUGAUCAAAUACAUAACUCUGUAGGGUUUUUUUUUUUUUUUUGGUUGCAAUUGUUUUAUUUUUAAAUAAUUCAAUGAAUUUUAUAUUUAUUGUUAUACAACCAUGAUAACAACCUAAUUUUAUUUUAUCUUAUUUAUUUAUUUUUGUCUUUUUGCCAUUUCUUGGGCCGCUCCCGCAGCAUAUGGAGGUUCCCAGGCUAGGGGUCCAUUCGGAGCCAUAGCCCCCAGCCUACGCCAGAGCCACAGCAACUCGCAAUCCGAGCUUCCUCUGCAACCUACACCACAGCUCACGGCAAUGCUGGAUCGUUAACCCACUGAGCAAGGCCAGGGAUCAAACCCGAAACCUCAUGGUUCCUAGUCGGAUGCGUUAACCACU